This 897-nucleotide ribosomal RNA is filed under the name Beauveria tenella. RNAcentral's name for it is "LSU rRNA". It matches the Rfam family "Eukaryotic large subunit ribosomal RNA", at positions 36 to 964 of the family's 3401-position model. The record is from RNAcentral. Lineage: Eukaryota; Fungi; Ascomycota; Sordariomycetes; Hypocreales; Cordycipitaceae.
UAGCAUAUCAAUAAGCGGAGGAAAAGAAACCAACAGGGAUUGCCCCAGUAACGGCGAGUGAAGCGGCAACAGCUCAAAUUUGAAAUCUGGCCCUCGGGUCCGAGUUGUAAUUUGUAGAGGAUGCUUUUGGCGAGGUGCCUUCCGAGUUCCCUGGAACGGGACGCCAUAGAGGGUGAGAGCCCCGUCUGGUCGGACACCGAGCCUCUGUAAAGCUCCUUCAACGAGUCGAGUAGUUUGGGAAUGCUGCUCAAAAUGGGAGGUAUAUGUCUUCUAAAGCUAAAUAUUGGCCAGAGACCGAUAGCGCACAAGUAGAGUGAUCGAAAGAUGAAAAGCACUUUGAAAAGAGGGUUAAAAAGUACGUGAAAUUGUUGAAAGGGAAGCGCUUAUGACCAGACUUGCGCCCGGUGAAUCAUCCAGCGUUCUCGCUGGUGCACUUUGCCGGGCACAGGCCAGCAUCAGUUUGGCGCGGGGGAAAAAGGCUUCGGGAAUGUGGCUCCCUCGGGAGUGUUAUAGCCCGCUGCGUAAUACCCUGCGCCGGACUGAGGUACGCGCAUCGCAAGGAUGCUGGCGUAAUGGUCAUCAGCGACCCGUCUUGAAACACGGACCAAGGAGUCGUCUUCGUAUGCGAGUGUUCGGGUGUCAAACCCCUACGCGUAAUGAAAGUGAACGUAGGUGAGAGCUUCGGCGCAUCAUCGACCGAUCCUGAUGUUCUCGGAUGGAUUUGAGUAAGAGCAUACGGGGCCGGACCCGAAAGAAGGUGAACUAUGCCUGUAUAGGGUGAAGCCAGAGGAAACUCUGGUGGAGGCUCGCAGCGGUUCUGACGUGCGAAUCGAUCGUCAAAUAUGGGCAUGGGGGGCGAAAGACUAAUCGAACCUUCUAGUAGCUGGUUUCCGCCGA